AUGCUUUCUUCUCUCGUAGACCGGGAGCCCGCGGUCUACUCUGACGGUAAGAUCCCAGCUCCCCGCUGCGCACCGCCCGGCCCCGAUGCCCCCGGGACGCAGAGGCGCCGCCGCUGUCCUCCGGCCAUGCGGUGGGUGCGGGCCCCGGCACGCGGGAUAGCUCCGAGUUGGCGGCUGCGGGCCCCGGGCGGGUACGGGAGGCGGGGUGCUGCGGGGCUCCGGGCCUGGGGCGGGGGGCUUCCCGCGCCGGGCGCCUGCGGCCCGAAAGGCGGCCCCGUGGGCGACAGGCGCUGCCCGCGAGCGAGGACACGGGUGAGUUGGCCGACGCCGCUGCGGCGGCCCGACUGUCGGCUGCGGGAGGUGGGCACCGCGCGGGUCGGCGGCCCCGGGCCCCGGCCCAUCCUCCCGGGCGCACGGGAGGUAGUGUGCGCGCCGCGCUGCACGCCAGGGAGUUCUCUCCGGCCCAGCUCCCCUCCUCCUGCCCUUCCCCUCGCCGCUAGGCCCACCUCGGCUCCCGCGCCCCCUCCCGCCGCGGGCCGCGGCCUGAGCUUGGGGCUCCGCGUUGGCCGCCGCCGCCGCCGCCCUAGGACUGCUUGGCCCUCCCCCGCCCAGGCGCCGCGCGCGGUGCGAUCCGCCCCAACAUCUGUCCGUCCAGCCAUUGGCACAUCCAUCAGUGUCACCGGGCUGCACAUUGCGGCGACAGCCCGUCACGCACCACACGGGCUAUGCGGCGUGCACACCGCGGCCCGCGCUGCCCCGCUGGGACACGCCGGCGGGGUUCCUGCCCGGCGCGGCACGGCCGGGGUCUCUGGUCUCCCCGGUGUUGUUUCAGCCGCACGCGCCUCCCCCCUCCUCCCCGUGUCCGGGCCGGCACAACGUGAGUGGUUGGCGGUGCGCAUCCAGCCCUCUCCUAUUUCGCCAGGUGUCCUCUGCCCUCUCCAUAAGGGCUGGGUGUGGUUAGCAGCGAAUGGAGGGAGGCUUCCCAAAUGGGCACCGAGUACUGCAUAG
Molecule: long non-coding RNA, 1008 nt
Filed under: Oryctolagus cuniculus (rabbit)
Lineage: Eukaryota; Metazoa; Chordata; Mammalia; Lagomorpha; Leporidae
Description: lncRNA (ENSOCUG00000031784.1)
Source: RNAcentral